CGGCUCGGCCAGCUUGUCCGGCCGCAAGGCUAUAUUUUUGGAGUUUUAUUAUGGCAUUAACCGUAGAACAAAAAGCGCAAAUCAUCAAAGAUUUCCAGCGCAAAGAA
Molecule: non-coding RNA, 107 nt
Organism: Eikenella corrodens ATCC 23834
Lineage: Bacteria; Pseudomonadati; Pseudomonadota; Betaproteobacteria; Neisseriales; Neisseriaceae
Source: Rfam